AUUGAACGCUGGCGGCAUGCUUUACACAUGCAAGUCGAACGGCAGCGCGGGCUUCGGCCUGGCGGCGAGUGGCGAACGGGUGAGUAAUGCAUCGGAACGUGCCCAGUAGUGGGGGAUAGCCCGGCGAAAGCCGGAUUAAUACCGCAUACGACCUGAGGGUGAAAGCGGGGGACCGAAAGGCCUCGCGCUAUUGGAGCGGCCGAUGUCGGAUUAGCUAGUUGGUGGGGUAAAGGCUUACCAAGGCGACGAUCCGUAGCUGGUCUGAGAGGACGACCAGCCAAACUGGGACUGGACAACGGCCCAAGCUCCUACGGGGGGCCGCAGGGGGGAAUUUUGGAAAAGGGGGGCAACCCUUAUCCCGCCAGGGCGGGGGGGGGAAAAAGGCCUUCGGGUUUGAAACCCCUUUUGUUGGGGAAAAAAACCUCUGGGCUAAUACCCCGGGGGGAUGAGGGUACCGGAAAAAAAAGCACCGGCUAACUACG
This 482-nucleotide ribosomal RNA is filed under the name uncultured bacterium. RNAcentral describes it as "partial 16S ribosomal RNA". It matches the Rfam family "Bacterial small subunit ribosomal RNA", at positions 29 to 505 of the family's 1533-position model. The record is from RNAcentral.